AAGGCUAUUAGACUUAUUUUUCUAUGUGUAUGAGGGUUUUGAGAUCAAUUGAAUGGUGAAAAGGAGAGAUAUUAGCUCUGAGAGAUUAGCAUCAAAGUUGGAAAAAAAGGCCAACUAAUACCCGAGUACGUUUUUGAUGUUAUCGUCUAUUCAGUAAUUUUGAUCCUUUUCAAAUUUUUUGUGCUUGUUUUUAACUUAGUUUUUAAGAAGUGUACAAAAUUUGAGUUAAGAUCGACGGUUCAUUCAUUAGUUAUUGAGGUUUGAAUCUAUUGUAGAAAUUACUAGGGUUUGGUUAAGAUUUUAUUUAGGGUUUAGAGUUUGGUUAGGAUUUGAUUUAGAGUUUGGUUAGGAUUUGGUUUAGGAUUUAGGAUUUGGUUUAAGGUUUAAGAUUUGAUUUAGGAUUUAGAAUUUGAUUUAAGGUUUAGAAUUUGGUUAAGGUUUCAUUUAGGAUUUAGGAUUUAUUUGGGGUUUGGUUUAGGAUUUGUUUAGGAUUUGGUUUAGGGUUUAGGAUAUGGUUAGUGUUUGAUUUAGGAUUUGGUUUAAGAUUUAGGGUUUGAUUAGGAUUUAGGAUUUGAUUUAGGAUUUAAGAUUUAAUUAGGAUUUGAUUUGGAAUUUGAUUUAGGAUUUAGAGUUUAGGAUUUAGGGUUUGUUUAGGAUUUGGUUAGAAUUUGGUUUAGAAUUUAGGAUUUGAUUUAGGGUUUAGGAUUUAAGAUUUAAUUAGUUUUGGCCUAAAUUUUGAAUGAAGUUUAAUAGGAUUUUAACUAGGAUUAAAUUAAGAUUGAAUUGAGAUGUAUUUGAGAUAUAUUUGUGAUCAUUCUAAUAUUUCUUUAUUUUUUUUUUAUUGUUUCUUUGAAAUUUCUUUGAGAUUUUUUUGAAUUUGAUUAAAGCUUGCUUAGCAUUAUUAUGAUCUAAUUAGAAUUUAGUUAGUAUUCUAUUAGAGUUAGGAUUUUUUUGUUGUUAUUUCUAUUCUACCUUCCACAGUCAAGUGCCCAGAGCAUUCUCAAGCAAGACUUCACAUAUUAUGACACUGCAAUAAGUUGUUUGGCACAGUAUAUUGUUGCCCUUACUUAUACUUAAGCUAGAUAUUAAAAAUCUAUAAUUUUUCUUCUU
Molecule: long non-coding RNA, 1110 nt
Filed under: Physcomitrium patens
Lineage: Eukaryota; Viridiplantae; Streptophyta; Bryopsida; Funariales; Funariaceae
Description: long non-coding RNA (PPAT_LNC011070)
Source: RNAcentral